CGCGUGCCGGCGACCGCGCACGGGUGAGUAACACGUAUGCAACCUGCCCGUGGCAGGGGGAGUAAGCGGGGGAAACCCCGUCUAAUACCGCGUAACGCGGCCUUGGGGCAUCCCAAGGCCGCCAAAGGGAGCAAUCCCGGCCACGGAUGGGCAUGCGGCGCAUUAGCUAGUCGGCGGGGUAACGGCCCACCGAGGCGACGAUGCGUAGGGGUUCUGAGAGGAAGGCCCCCCACACUGGUACUGAGACACGGACCAGACUCCUACGGAAGGCAGCAG
This 276-nucleotide ribosomal RNA is filed under the name uncultured bacterium. Its description in RNAcentral is "partial 16S ribosomal RNA". It matches the Rfam family "Bacterial small subunit ribosomal RNA", at positions 83 to 354 of the family's 1533-position model. The record is from RNAcentral.